RNAcentral lists this ribosomal RNA (490 nucleotides) under uncultured bacterium. Its description in RNAcentral is "partial 16S ribosomal RNA". It matches the Rfam family "Bacterial small subunit ribosomal RNA", at positions 30 to 507 of the family's 1533-position model. The record is from RNAcentral.
AUUGAACGCUGGCGGCAGGCUUAACACAUGCAAGUCGAGCGGUAACAGAGAGACGCUUGCUUCUCUGCUGACGAGCGGCGGACGGGUGAGUAAUGCCUAGGAAUCUGCCUAGUAGUGGGGGAUAACUUGCCGAAAGGUAAGCUAAUACCGCAUACGUCCUACGGGAGAAAGGAGGGGACCUUCGGGCCUUUCGCUAUUAGAUGAGCCUAGGUCGGAUUAGUUAGUUGGUGAGGUAAUGGCUCACCAAGACCGCGAUCCGUAACUGGUCUGAGAGGAUGAUCAGUCACACUGGAACUGAGACACGGUCCAGACUCCUACGGGAGGCAGCAGUGGGGAAUAUUGGACAAUGGGGGAAACCCUGAUCCAGCCAUGCCGCGUGUGUGAAGAAGGUCUUAGGAUUGUAAAGCACUUUAAGUUGGGAGGAAGAGCAGUUAACUAAUAUUUGACUGUUUUGACGUUACCGACAGAAUAAGCACCGGCUAACUUCGUG